This 273-nucleotide ribosomal RNA is filed under the name uncultured Staphylococcus sp. Its description in RNAcentral is "partial 16S ribosomal RNA". It matches the Rfam family "Bacterial small subunit ribosomal RNA", at positions 89 to 356 of the family's 1533-position model. The record is from RNAcentral. Lineage: Bacteria; Bacillati; Bacillota; Bacilli; Caryophanales; Staphylococcaceae.
ACGUUAGCGGCGGACGGGUGAGUAACACGUGGGUAACCUACCUAUAAGACUGGGAUAACUUCGGGAAACCGGAGCUAAUACCGGAUAAUAUUUCGAACCGCAUGGUUCGAUAGUGAAAGAUAGUUUUGCUAUCACUUAUAGAUGGACCCGCGCCGUAUUAGCUAGUUGGUAAGGUAACGGCUUACCAAGGCGACGAUACGUAGCCGACCUGAGAGGGUGAUCGGCCACACUGGAACUGAGACACGGUCCAGACUCCUACGGGAGGCAGCAGUG